Molecule: ribosomal RNA, 253 nt
Filed under: uncultured bacterium
Lineage: Bacteria
Description: partial 16S ribosomal RNA
Rfam family: Bacterial small subunit ribosomal RNA
Source: RNAcentral
UACGUAGGGUCCGAGCGUUGUCCGGAAUUAUUGGGCGUAAAGGGCUCGUAGGCGGUUUGUCGCGUCGGGCGUGAAAACCUACAGCUUAACUGUGGGCUUGCUUUCGAUACGGGCAGACUUGAGGCAUGCAGGGGAGACUGGAAUUCCUGGUGUAGCGGUGAAAUGCGCAGAUAUCAGGAGGAACACCAGUGGCGAAGGCGACUUCCUGGCCUGUUCUUGACGCUGAGGCGCGAAAGCUAGGGGAGCAAACGGG